RNAcentral lists this ribosomal RNA (495 nucleotides) under uncultured bacterium. RNAcentral's name for it is "partial 16S ribosomal RNA". It matches the Rfam family "Bacterial small subunit ribosomal RNA", at positions 28 to 507 of the family's 1533-position model. The record is from RNAcentral.
GACGAACGCUGGCGGCGUGCCUAAUACAUGCAAGUAGAACGCUGAAGGAGGAGCUUGCUUCUCUGGAUGAGUUGCGAGCGGGUGAGUAACGCGUAGGUAACCUGCCUGGUAGCGGGGGAUAACUAUUGGAAACGAUAGCUAAUACCGCAUAAUAGUAGAUGUUGCAUGACAUUUGCUUAAAAGGUGCAAUUGCAUCACUACCAGAUGGACCUGCGUUGUAUUAGCUAGUUGGUGAGGUAACGGCUCACCAAGGCGACGAUACAUAGCCGACCUGAGAGGGUGAUCGGCCACACUGGGACUGAGACACGGCCCAGACUCCUACGGGAGGCAGCAGUAGGGAAUCUUCGGCAAUGGACGGAAGUCUGACCGAGCAACGCCGCGUGAGUGAAGAAGGUUUUCGGAUCGUAAAGCUCUGUUGUAAGAGAAGAACGAGUGUGAGAGUGGAAAGUUCACACUGUGACGGUAUCUUACCAGAAAGGGACGGCUAACUACGUG